CGGAGGCUUAACACAUGCAAGUCGAGGGGUAACGAUGGUGCUUGCACCAGGCGACGACCGGCGAACGGGUGAGUAACGCGUAUGCAACCUACCCAUAACUUGAGGAUAGCCCGGAGAAAUUCGGAUUAAUAUUCAAUAAUAUUUCUUAGAGGCAUCUCUUUGAUCUUAAAGCUUCGGCGGUUAUGGAUGGGCAUGCGUGCCAUUAGUUUGUUGGUGAGGUAACGGCUCACCAAGUUGGCUAUGAUGGCUAGGGGGUCUUAAAGGAUGGUCCCCCACACUGGUACUGAGACACGGACCAGACUCCUACGGGAGGCAGCAGUGAGGAAUAUUGGUCAAUGGGCGAAAGCCUGAACCAGCCAUACCGCGUGCAGGAUGACGGCCCUAUGGGUUGUAAACUGCUUUUAUACGAGAAGAAACCUCUCUACGUGUAGAGAGCUGACGGUAUCGUAAGAAUAAGCAUCGGCUAACUCCGUGCCAGCAGCCGCGGUAAUACGGAGGAUGCAAGCGUUAUCCGGAUUUAUUAGGUUUAAAGGGUGCGCAGGCGGAAAUAUAAGUCAGUGGUGAAAUCCUACAGCUCAACUGACGAACUGCCAUUGAUACUGUUAGUCUUGAAUUCAGUUGCUGUAGGCGGAAUGUAUCAUGUAGCGGUGAAAUGCAUAGAUAUGAUACAGAACACCGAUUGCGAAGGCAGCUUACAAAACUGAUAUUGACGCUGAUGUACGAAAGCGUGGGUAGCGAACAGGAUUAGAUACCCUGGUAGUCCACGCCGUAAACGAUGAUUACUCGUUGUGUGCGAUACACUGCACGUGACCGAGCGAAAGCAUUAAGUAAUCCACCUGGGGAGUACGUUCGCAAGAAUGAAACUCAAAGGAAUUGACGGGGGCCCGCACAAGCGGAGGAACAUGUGGUUUAAUUCGAUGAUACGCGAGGAACCUUACCUGGGCUUAAAUGUAGCGUGACCACUCGAAAGGGUAUUUCUCUUCGGAGCAGGUUACAAGGUGCUGCAUGGCUGUCGUCAGCUCGUGCCGUGAGGUGUCGGGUUAAGUCCCAUAACGAGCGCAACCCCUAUUGUUAGUUGCUAACAGGUCAAGCUGAGGACUCUAGCGAGACUGCCACCGUAAGGUGAGAGGAAGGUGGGGAUGACGUCAAGUCAGCACGGCCCUUACGUCCAGGGCUACACACGUGUUACAAUGGUCGGUACAGAGAGCAGCUACUUGGUGACAAGAUGCCAAUCUUCAAAGCCGGUCUUAGUUCGGAUCGAAGUCUGCAACUCGACUUCGUGAAGUUGGAUUCGCUAGUAAUCGCAUAUCAGCCACGAUGCGGUGAAUACGUUCCCGGGCCUUGUACCACCGCCCGUCAAGCCAUGGAAGCUGAGGGUACCUGAAGUCUGUAACCG
This 1396-nucleotide ribosomal RNA is filed under the name uncultured prokaryote. RNAcentral describes it as "partial 16S ribosomal RNA". It matches the Rfam family "Bacterial small subunit ribosomal RNA". The record is from RNAcentral.